CCUACGGGGGGCUGCAGUGAGGAAUAUUGGUCAAUGGGCUUACGCCUGAACCAGCCAAGCCGCGUGAGGGAAGACGGUCCUAUGGAUGGUAACCCCCUUUUGUCAGGGAGCAAAGGGCGCCACGUGUGGCGUUUUGCGAGUACCUGAAGAAAAAGCAUCGGCUAACUCCGUGCCAGCAGCCGCGGUAAUACGGAGGAAGCGAGCGUUAUCCGGAUUUAUUGGGUUAAAAGGGUGCGCAGGCGGAAUGUCAAGUCAGCGGUAAAAUUUCGGGGCUCAACCCCGUCGUGCCGUUGAAACUGGCGUUCUUGAGUGAGCGAGAGGUAUGCGGAAUGCGUGGUGUAGCGGUGAAAUGCAUAGAUAUCACGCAGAACUCCGAUUGCGAAGGCAGCAUACCGGCGCUCAACUGACGCUCAUGCACGAAAGCGUGGGUAGCGAACAGGAUUAGAUACCCCUGUAGUC
RNAcentral lists this ribosomal RNA (459 nucleotides) under uncultured bacterium. RNAcentral describes it as "partial 16S ribosomal RNA". It matches the Rfam family "Bacterial small subunit ribosomal RNA", at positions 338 to 795 of the family's 1533-position model. The record is from RNAcentral.